This 497-nucleotide ribosomal RNA is filed under the name uncultured eukaryote. Its description in RNAcentral is "bacterial SSU rRNA". It matches the Rfam family "Eukaryotic small subunit ribosomal RNA", at positions 13 to 489 of the family's 1831-position model. The record is from RNAcentral.
CCUGACGGUAGUCGUAUGCUCGUCUCCGAGACUAAGCCAUGCAAGUCCAAGUACACGUCCUUGAACGACGGAAACUGCGAACGGCUCAUUAAAUCAGUUGCGAUCUACUCGGCGUUCCGCGCCGCCGGAUAACCGUAGUAAUUCUAGGGCUAAUACGUGCGAAGCGCCCGAAGCCGCGAGGCGACGGGCGUUCUCGCCGGAUGUAGGAACCGACCCGGGGACCGCCGGGGCAACCCCGGCGCCCCCGAGACGGGGCGAACCACGGUGAAAUGACGGAUCGUCGGCCCCGCGCCGGCGACUCGCCGAAUGAGUUUCUGACCUAUCAACUCGAGACGGCGGGGUAGAGGCCCGCCGCGGUAACGACGGGUAACGGGGAAUCAGGGUUCGAUUCCGGAGAGGGAGCCCGAGAAACGGCUACCACUUCCAAGGAAGGCAGCAGGCGCGCAACUUACCCUAAUCUCGAUUCGAGGAGGUAGUGACAAGAAUACCGAUGCGGG